GGCCCUGUAGUCUAGUGGUAAAACGUCGCCCUCACGUGGCGAAGUCCGCAGUUCGAUUCUGCGCAGGGCCA
This 71-nucleotide transfer RNA is filed under the name Candidatus Pacearchaeota archaeon. RNAcentral's name for it is "tRNA-Val". It matches the Rfam family "tRNA". Rfam says of the family: Transfer RNA (tRNA) molecules are approximately 80 nucleotides in length. Lineage: Archaea; Nanobdellati. The record is from RNAcentral.